Molecule: transfer RNA, 74 nt
Filed under: archaeon
Lineage: Archaea
Also listed under: 5 other names
Description: tRNA-Tyr
Rfam family: tRNA
About the family: Transfer RNA (tRNA) molecules are approximately 80 nucleotides in length. Their secondary structure includes four short double-helical elements and three loops (D, anti-codon, and T loops).
Source: RNAcentral
CCCGCGGUAGCUCAGCCUGGUAGAGCUUCCGGCUGUAGACCGGAGUGUCGCAGGUUCAAAUCCUGCCCGCGGGA